GACGAACGCUGGCGGCGUGCUUAACACAUGCAAGUCGAACGGUAAGGCUCCAGCUUGCUGGGGUACACGAGUGGCGAACGGGUGAGUAACACGUGGGUGACCUGCCCUGCACUUCGGGAUAAGCCUGGGAAACUGGGUCUAAUACCGGAUAGGACCGCACCGUGAGGGUGUGGUGGAAAGUUUUUUCGGUGUGGGAUGGGCCCGCGGCCUAUCAGCUUGUUGGUGGGGUAAUGGCCUACCAAGGCGGCGACGGGUAGCCGGCCUGAGAGGGUGGACGGCCACAUUGGGACUGAGACACGGCCCAGACUCCUACGGGAGGCAGCAGUGGGGAAUAUUGCACAAUGGGCGGAAGCCUGAUGCAGCGACGCCGCGUGGGGGAUGACGGCCUUCGGGUUGUAAACUCCUUUCACCAUCGACGAAGGGUUUCUGACGGUAGAUGGAGAAGAAGCACCGGCUAACUACGUGCCAGCAGCCGCGGUAAUACGUAGGGUGCGAGCGUUGUCCGGAAUUACUGGGCGUAAAGAGCUCGUAGGUGGUUUGUCGCGUCGUCUGUGAAAUUCCGGGGCUUAACUCCGGGCGUGCAGGCGAUACGGGCAUAACUUGAGUACUGUAGGGGAGACUGGAAUUCCUGGUGUAGCGGUGAAAUGCGCAGAUAUCAGGAGGAACACCGGUGGCGAAGGCGGGUCUCUGGGCAGUAACUGACGCUGAGGAGCGAAAGCAUGGGGAGCGAACAGGAUUAGAUACCCUGGUAGUCCAUGCCGUAAACGGUGGGCGCUAGGUGUGGGUUUCCUUCCACGGGAUCCGUGCCGUAGCUAACGCAUUAAGCGCCCCGCCUGGGGAGUACGGCCGCAAGGCUAAAACUCAAAGGAAUUGACGGGGGCCCGCACAAGCGGCGGAGCAUGUGGAUUAAUUCGAUGCAACGCGAAGAACCUUACCUGGGCUUGACAUAUACAGGAUCGCGCCAGAGAUGGUGUUUCCCUUGUGGCUUGUAUACAGGUGGUGCAUGGUUGUCGUCAGCUCGUGUCGUGAGAUGUUGGGUUAAGUCCCGCAACGAGCGCAACCCUUGUCUUAUGUUGCCAGCACGUUGUGGUGGGGACUCGUAAGAAACUGCCGGGGUUAACUCGGAGGAAGGUGGGGAUGACGUCAAAUCAUCAUGCCCCUUAUGUCCAGGGCUUCACACAUGCUACAAUGGUCGGUACAGUGGGUUGCCAGUCCGUGAGGGCGAGCUAAUCCCGCAAAGCCGGUCUCAGUUCGGAUUGGGGUCUGCAACUCGACCCCAUGAAGUCGGAGUCGCUAGUAAUCGCAGAUCAGCAAUGCUGCGGUGAAUACGUUCCCGGGCCU
This 1341-nucleotide ribosomal RNA is filed under the name uncultured bacterium. Its description in RNAcentral is "partial 16S ribosomal RNA". It matches the Rfam family "Bacterial small subunit ribosomal RNA", at positions 28 to 1381 of the family's 1533-position model. The record is from RNAcentral.